GACGAACGCUGGCGGCGUGCUUAACACAUGCAAGUCGAACGGAAAGGCGCGGCUCUUGUGGGUUGCUCGAUUGGCGAACGGGGGAGAAACACGCGAGUAACCUGCCCUUGUCUGUGUGAGAACUUCAGGAGACUGCGGCUAAUACCGGAGAGAAUCUCCUGAUGCACGGGGGUGGAUGGAAAAUUUCGGCGGUUGGGGCUGGACUCGCGGGUUAUCAGCUGGUUUGUGGGGUAGGUACUGACCAAGGCUUUGACGGAUAGCCGGCAUGAGAGGGUGACCGGCCACAUUGGGACUGCGGUACGGACCAGUCUCCUACCGGCGGCAGCAGUGGGGAAUAUUGCACAAUGGGCGGACGCCUGAUGCAGCAACGCCGCGUGCGGGAUAACGGCCUUCGGGUUGUAAACCGCUUUCGCCUGUGCCGAAGCGUGAGUGACGGUAAUGGGUAAAGAAGCACCGGCUAACUACGUG
This 468-nucleotide ribosomal RNA is filed under the name uncultured bacterium. RNAcentral's name for it is "partial 16S ribosomal RNA". It matches the Rfam family "Bacterial small subunit ribosomal RNA", at positions 28 to 507 of the family's 1533-position model. The record is from RNAcentral.